RNAcentral lists this ribosomal RNA (332 nucleotides) under uncultured eukaryote. RNAcentral describes it as "partial 18S ribosomal RNA". It matches the Rfam family "Eukaryotic small subunit ribosomal RNA", at positions 1470 to 1796 of the family's 1831-position model. The record is from RNAcentral.
CCCUUAGAUGUUCUAGGCCGCACGCGCGCUACACUGUUCGACGCAGCGAGUCUUAACCUUGACCGAAAGGUUUGGGUAAUCUUCAGCAAAGUCGAACGUGAUGGGGAUCGAUCAUUGCAAUUAUUGAUCGUGAACGAGGAAUUCCUAGUAAGUGCAAGUCAUCAGCUUGCGCUGAUUACGUCCCUGCCCUUUGUACACACCGCCCGUCGCUACUACCGAUUGAAUGGUUUAGUGAGAUCUCUGGAUUGACGCUGGCUAGGGGGCGACCCUUGGCCAGACUGCUCGAGAAACUGCUCAAACUUGAUCAUUUAGAGGAAGUAAAAGUCGUAACA